GACGAACGCUGGCGGCGUGCUUAACACAUGCAAGUCGAACGGUGAAGCGCCUUCCUUUUUGGUGGGUGUGGAUGAGCGGCGAACGGGUGAGUAACACGUGAGUAACCUGCUCCCUUUUUCUGGAUAACCGCAUGAAAGUGUGGCUAAUACGGGAUAUUCUGGGUCUGUUGCAUGAUGGGUCUGGGACAGAUUUUGUUUCGGUGGGGGAUGGGUUCGCGGCGUAUCAGCUUGUUGGUGGGGUGAUGGCCUACCAAGGCGAUGAGGGGUAGCCGGCCUGAGAGGAUGGACGGCAACAGAGGUGAGAAGAGAUGCAGCCUACUACGGCGGGAGGCAGUAGGGGAUAUUAUGGCACAGGGGGAGGAAGCAUGAUGCAGCGACGCGGCGUGGGUGAUGGAGGCCGUCGGGUUGUGAUCCUCUUUCGGUGGUGAAGCAGGCCUGCCGCGUUUGUGGGUGGGUUGACGGUAGCUGGAUAAGAAGCGCCGGCUAACUACGUG
Molecule: ribosomal RNA, 494 nt
Filed under: uncultured bacterium
Lineage: Bacteria
Description: partial 16S ribosomal RNA
Rfam family: Bacterial small subunit ribosomal RNA
Source: RNAcentral